RNAcentral lists this ribosomal RNA (253 nucleotides) under uncultured bacterium. Its description in RNAcentral is "partial 16S ribosomal RNA". It matches the Rfam family "Bacterial small subunit ribosomal RNA", at positions 524 to 776 of the family's 1533-position model. The record is from RNAcentral.
UACGGAGGGGGCAAGCGUUGUUCGGAAUCACUGGGCGUAAAGCGCGUGUAGGCGGCUUGGUAAGUCGGGUGUGAAAGCCCGGAGCGCAACUCCGGAACUGCAUUCGAAACUACCUCGCUCGAGUCCCGGAGAGGGUGGUGGAAUUCCCGGUGUAGAGGUGAAAUUCGUAGAUAUCGGGAGGAACACCAGUGGCGAAGGCGGCCACCUGGACGGUGACUGACGCUGAGACGCGAAAGCGUGGGGAGCAACCAGG